CUUGGGCUUCCGUGAUGAUUUACAAUCAUAGCAUAGUUCAUCUGAAUAUUUUAUGAAGACAACUGUAGCAUAUAUAGUCUUUCGCUCCCAUCUGACUGUUGCCCUUA
Molecule: small nucleolar RNA, 107 nt
Filed under: Sordaria macrospora k-hell
Lineage: Eukaryota; Fungi; Ascomycota; Sordariomycetes; Sordariales; Sordariaceae
Description: Small nucleolar RNA snR60/Z15/Z230/Z193/J17
Rfam family: Small nucleolar RNA snR60/Z15/Z230/Z193/J17
About the family: The members of this family belong to the C/D class of snoRNAs which contain the C (UGAUGA) and D (CUGA) box motifs.
Source: Rfam by way of RNAcentral